GUGGGGAAUUUUGGACAAUGGGCGCAAGCCUGAUCCAGCCAUGCCGCGUGCAGGAUGAAGGCCUUCGGGUUGUAAACUGCUUUUGUACGGAACGAAAAGACUCUGGUUAAUACCUGGGGUCCAUGACGGUACCGUAAGAAUAAGCACCGGCUAACUACGUGCCAGCAGCCGCGGUAAUACGUAGGGUGCAAGCGUUAAUCGGAAUUACUGGGCGUACAGCGUGCGCAGGCGGUUAUAUAAGACAGAUGUGAAAUCCCCGGGCUCAACCUGGGAACUGCAUUUGUGACUGUAUAGCUAGAGUACGGUAGAGGGGGAUGGAAUUCCGCGUGUAGCAGUGAAAUGCGUAGAUAUGCGGAGGAACACCGAUGGCGAAGGCAAUCCCCUGGACCUGUACUGACGCUCAUGCACGAAAGCGUGGGGAGCAAACAGGAUUAGAAACCCGGGUAGUCC
RNAcentral lists this ribosomal RNA (450 nucleotides) under uncultured bacterium. Its description in RNAcentral is "partial 16S ribosomal RNA". It matches the Rfam family "Bacterial small subunit ribosomal RNA", at positions 354 to 796 of the family's 1533-position model. The record is from RNAcentral.